This 200-nucleotide unclassified non-coding RNA is filed under the name soil metagenome. Its description in RNAcentral is "partial contains internal transcribed spacer 2 and large subunit ribosomal RNA". The record is from RNAcentral.
UCAUUGCAACCCUCAAGCGUAGCUUGGUAUUGGGCCUUCGCUCCCUGGGCGUGCCCGAAAAAUAUUGGCGGUCCGGUGUGACUUUAAGCGUAGUAAAAUAUCUCCCGCUUUGAAAGUUUCGCACCGUGAUUGCCAGACAACCCUAAUAAAAUUUAUCAAUGAUUGACCUCGGAUCAGGUAGGGAUACCCGCUGAACUUAA